This 253-nucleotide ribosomal RNA is filed under the name uncultured bacterium. RNAcentral describes it as "partial 16S ribosomal RNA". It matches the Rfam family "Bacterial small subunit ribosomal RNA", at positions 524 to 776 of the family's 1533-position model. The record is from RNAcentral.
GACGGAGGAUGCAAGCGUUAUCCGGAAUGAUUGGGCGUAAAGCGUCCGCAGGUGGCAGUUCAAGUCUGCUGUCAAAGACCGGGGCUUAACCUCGGAAAGGCAGUGGAAACUACAUAGCUAGAGUAUGGUUGGGGCAGAAGGAAUUCCUGGUGUAGCGGUGAAAUGCGUAGAGAUCAGGAAGAACAUCGGUGGCGAAGGCGCUUUGCUGGACCAUAACUGACACUCAGGGACGAAAGCUAGGGUAGCGAAAGGG